AUGAUUCGCACGUCACAUUUCACCAGCCUACUACUACUAAACGCCUCAUUUGUGCGCGGUAGUCUGGCGGGCGACGUUCAGCGAUAAGUCCUCCUCCAGAAACAAAGACAACCCGCGCCAUUGCGCGGGUUUUUUU
Molecule: small RNA, 136 nt
Filed under: Yokenella regensburgei
Lineage: Bacteria; Pseudomonadati; Pseudomonadota; Gammaproteobacteria; Enterobacterales; Enterobacteriaceae
Description: Leucine operon leader
Rfam family: Leucine operon leader
About the family: At least 6 amino acid operons are known to be regulated by attenuation. In each a leader sequence of 150-200 bp is found upstream of the first gene in the operon. This leader sequence can assume two different secondary structures known as the terminator and the anti-terminator structure.
Source: RNAcentral